Non-coding RNA from Podarcis lilfordi (Lilford's wall lizard), 66 nucleotides. Lineage: Eukaryota; Metazoa; Chordata; Lepidosauria; Squamata; Lacertidae. The record is from the annotation of a GenBank genome assembly.
UGUGUGUGUGUGUGUGUGUGUGUGUGUGUGUGUACACACACACACACACACAUAUAUACACACAAA